RNAcentral lists this non-coding RNA (110 nucleotides) under Lepisosteus oculatus (spotted gar). Its description in RNAcentral is "Eukaryotic small subunit ribosomal RNA". It matches the Rfam family "Eukaryotic small subunit ribosomal RNA", at positions 996 to 1112 of the family's 1831-position model. Lineage: Eukaryota; Metazoa; Chordata; Actinopteri; Semionotiformes; Lepisosteidae. The record is from Rfam by way of RNAcentral.
GAAAAAAGACGAUCAGAUAAUGUUGUAUCGUAAACGAUGCCAACUAGCGAUCCAGCGGUGUUAUUCCCACGACCCGCUGCGCAGCGUCUGGGAAACCAAGGUCUCUGGGU